RNAcentral lists this ribosomal RNA (248 nucleotides) under uncultured bacterium. RNAcentral describes it as "partial 16S ribosomal RNA". It matches the Rfam family "Bacterial small subunit ribosomal RNA", at positions 28 to 273 of the family's 1533-position model. The record is from RNAcentral.
GAUGAACGCUAGCGGCAGGCUUAAUACAUGCAAGUCGAGGGGUAACAUGGUAGCAAUACUGAUGACGACCGGCAAACGGGUGCGGAACACGUACAGAACCUUCCUUUAAGUGGGGGAUAGCCCGGACGAAAUCCGGAUUAAUACCCCGUAACCAUUAUUGAUUGGCAUCAAUUAGUAAUUAUAGAUUUAUCGCUUAGAGAUGGCUGUGCGGCUGAUUAGGUAGUUGGUGAGGGAACGGCCCGACCAAC